AAUGAACGCUGGCGGCAUGCCUUACACAUGCAAGUCGAACGGCAGCAUGACCUAGCUUGCUAGGUUGAUGGCGAGUGGCGAACGGGUGAGUAAUGCAUCGGAACGUGCCUUUUAGUGGGGGAUAACGUAGCGAAAGUUACGCUAAUACCGCAUAUUCUCUGAGGAGGAAAGCAGGGGACCUUCGGGCCUUGCGCUAGAAGAGCGGCCGAUGUCGGAUUAGCUAGUUGGUGAGGUAAAGGCUCACCAAGGCAACGAUCCGUAGCGGGUCUGAGAGGAUGAUCCGCCACACUGGGGCUGAGACACGGCCCAGACUCCUACGGGAGGCAGCAGUGGGGAAUUUUGGACAAUGGGCGCAAGCCUGAUCCAGCCAUGCCGCGUGAGUGAAGAAGGCCUUCGGGUUGUAAAGCUCUUUCGGCUGGGAAGAAAUCGCACCCUCUAAUACAGGGUGUGGAUGACGGUACCAGCAUAAGAAGCACCGGCUAACUACGUG
RNAcentral lists this ribosomal RNA (490 nucleotides) under uncultured bacterium. RNAcentral describes it as "partial 16S ribosomal RNA". It matches the Rfam family "Bacterial small subunit ribosomal RNA", at positions 29 to 507 of the family's 1533-position model. The record is from RNAcentral.